This 505-nucleotide ribosomal RNA is filed under the name uncultured Desemzia sp. Its description in RNAcentral is "bacterial SSU rRNA". It matches the Rfam family "Bacterial small subunit ribosomal RNA", at positions 30 to 507 of the family's 1533-position model. Lineage: Bacteria; Bacillati; Bacillota; Bacilli; Lactobacillales; Carnobacteriaceae. The record is from RNAcentral.
CGAACGCUGGCGGCGUGCCUAAUACAUGCAAGUCGAACGCUUUUCUUCACCGGGUGCUUGCACUCAUCGAAGGAAAAGAGUGGCGGACGGGUGAGUAACACGUGGGUAACCUACCUAUAAGCGGGGGAUAACAUUCGGAAACGGAUGCUAAUACCGCAUAAAUCUUGAUGCCACAUGGCAUCUGGAAGAAAGACGGCUUCGGCUGUCACUUAUAGAUGGACCCGCGGCGCAUUAGUUAGUUGGUGAGGUAAUGGCUCACCAAGACGAUGAUGCGUAGCCGACCUGAGAGGGUGAUCGGCCACACUGGGACUGAGACACGGCCCAGACUCCUACGGGAGGCAGCAGUAGGGAAUCUUCCGCAAUGGACGAAAGUCUGACGGAGCAACGCCGCGUGAGUGAAGAAGGUUUUCGGAUCGUAAAACCCUGUUGUUAGAGAAGAACAAGGAUGAGAGUAACUGUUCAUCCCUUGACGGUAUCUAACCAGAAAGCCAUGGCUAACUACGUG